GACGAACGCUGGCGGCGUGCUUAACACAUGCAAGUCGAGCGGUAAGGCCCUUUCGGGGUACACGAGCGGCGAACGGGUGAGUAACACGUGGGUGACCUGCCCUUAGCUCUGGGAUAAGCCUGGGAAACUGGGUCUAAUACCGGAUAUGACUCCAUGACGCAUGUUGUGGGGUGGAAAGCCUUGUGCGGCUAGGGAUGGGCCUGCGGCCUAUCAGCUUGUUGGUGGGGUGANGGCCUACCAAGGCGACGACGGGUAGCCGGCCUGAGAGGGCGACCGGCCACACUGGGACUGAGACACGGCCCAGACUCCUACGGGAGGCAGCAGUGGGGAAUCUUGCGCAAUGGGCGAAAGCCUGACGCAGCGACGCCGCGUGGGGAUGACGGCCU
This 386-nucleotide ribosomal RNA is filed under the name uncultured bacterium. RNAcentral's name for it is "bacterial SSU rRNA". It matches the Rfam family "Bacterial small subunit ribosomal RNA", at positions 28 to 417 of the family's 1533-position model. The record is from RNAcentral.